RNAcentral lists this small nuclear RNA (299 nucleotides) under Monodelphis domestica (gray short-tailed opossum). RNAcentral's name for it is "7SK RNA". It matches the Rfam family "7SK RNA". From Rfam's summary of the family: 7SK was discovered as an abundant small nuclear RNA in the mid-70s but a possible function has only recently been suggested. Two independent studies have found that 7SK RNA binds the CDK9/cyclin T complex (known as elongation factor P-TEFb). The record is from Rfam by way of RNAcentral. Lineage: Eukaryota; Metazoa; Chordata; Mammalia; Didelphimorphia; Didelphidae.
UGAUCUGGUCAAAAUAUCUAUCUUCCCAUUGAUGCUAGAACUGAUGAAGUUUAUCUGACAGAUUGACUUGGGGGUCCUUGUACCAUUCAUUGCCUUUCCUCUCAGAUCUUUACAUUCAGUUGGGGAAAAAAAAGAACAACCUUCCUUGACAGAGCAGUAGCAUUCUUUGGUCAAGGUUAUCUAGGAAGUCAGCUCUCCUAAUAGCAACUACAAAUGAGUUCUCAAAGUGUAUUUGUAAGAAUCUAUGAUAUUAAAAUUUACUGUUUCAACAAAGUUCAUGAGUAACUGGGUUACAAAGU